CUCUCCUGUAUGAAUACGUUUGUGAACAUAAAAAUUACUAUUUUGAGAGAAUGAUUUACCACAGAUAUCACAAUAUAAUGGCUUCUCUCCUGUACGAAUACAUUUGUGUAUUGCUAAGACACUAUUUUCAGAGAAUGAUUUACCACUGAUCCCAAGGUGAUAUGGCU
Long non-coding RNA from Octopus sinensis (East Asian common octopus), 167 nucleotides. RefSeq lists it as uncharacterized. The record is from RefSeq and is a predicted model, not a curated record. The transcript has 3 exons. Lineage: Eukaryota; Metazoa; Mollusca; Cephalopoda; Octopoda; Octopodidae.